GGAGGGUAUAGCUCAGUGGUAGAGCUCAUGCUUAGCAUGCAUGAAGUCCUGGGUUCAAUCCCCAGUACCUCCA
This 73-nucleotide transfer RNA is filed under the name Vicugna pacos (alpaca). Its description in RNAcentral is "tRNA-Ala (AGC) (tRNA-Ala-AGC-349-1)". It matches the Rfam family "tRNA". Rfam says of the family: Transfer RNA (tRNA) molecules are approximately 80 nucleotides in length. Their secondary structure includes four short double-helical elements and three loops (D, anti-codon, and T loops). The record is from RNAcentral. Lineage: Eukaryota; Metazoa; Chordata; Mammalia; Artiodactyla; Camelidae.